AAGACCUUGCGCUUUUGGAGCGGCCGAUGCCUGAUUAGCUUGUUGGUAAGGUAAAAGCUUACCAAGGCUUCGAUCAGUAGCUGGUCUGAGAGGACGGCCAGCCACACUGGGACUGAGACACGGCCCAGACUCCUACGGGAGGCAGCAGUGGGGAAUUUUGGACAAUGGGGGCAACCCUGAUCCAGCCAUGCCGCGUGAGUGAAGAAGGCCUUCGGGUUGUAAAGCUCUUUCAGCCGGAACGAAACGGUUACGGUUAAUACCCGUGAUUACUGACGGUACCGGAAGAAGAAGCACCGGCUAACUACGUGCCAGCAGCCGCGGUAAUACGUAGGGUGCGAGCGUUAAUCGGAAUUACUGAGCGUAAAGCGUGCGCAGGUGGUUUUGUAAGUCAGAUGUGAAAGCCCCGGGCUCAACCUGGGAACU
RNAcentral lists this ribosomal RNA (423 nucleotides) under uncultured bacterium. Its description in RNAcentral is "bacterial SSU rRNA". It matches the Rfam family "Bacterial small subunit ribosomal RNA", at positions 207 to 622 of the family's 1533-position model. The record is from RNAcentral.